UCAGUACAUCCUGUGCUCACGACACAGCGCGAACGGAAGCCAGCGUGCCGUGAAUGCGCUGUCUGUGGCAGUCUGCGCUCUGGGCGUACUUCUGUCAUAGAGCUUGGAAAGAAAUGCUUGUGCAAAAGCCAGAACAUUGCUGUUGAUGCUGCUGCUGCUGCUGUGUCUGAUGAUAGCCCAUAUUUCCUUGCUGUGGUAUGAAGGAGGUGAAAUGCUACAGCUGGAGACUCAGAAGACAAUAAUGGAAAUAUGCUUGCCACGCAAUCAGGAAGCUGAGGAGCUCAGUUUUCUGUGAAGGGAGGUACUACAGGUGGGUGGAAGAGCAAACACUGGAAAUGUUGAGAAACCAGCAGUAUGAACAAAAAAUACAGUGCCAAACCUAAUAGCUUUCACAGAUCUCAGUUACUGCUCAGGCUGAACUUUAUUGUGCUCUGCAGGAACCUGUUAACGUUCACAGCCUGAGGGUCUCAAAUGAAUCUCCAUGUAUUCUGUGUGCCACCACAGCAGACAGGCUUUGUUGCGUUGGUGGUGUCCGACUGGGCUCAGGGAGCAAGUGUUCUCAGAGGUCUCACUAUUUCAAGUUUCCAGUGUGAUCAGUCAGGUUUCUUUCAGGACCACCUGAAGACCAGUAAGUCACCAACACAUUUUGCAUGCUCCCCUGCUCCAUUUUCAAGCUGAAACAGCUGCUCAAGUAACCCUCCUGGCUGAGAUCUUAAAACAAGGCUUUAAGGAAAAGGUAAAUGCUGUAGGGUAGCCCGUUUUAUAGGCUGCCCUUAUACAGAAGAAUAAGAAAGGGAAGGCAAAGGCACA
Molecule: long non-coding RNA, 810 nt
Organism: Onychostruthus taczanowskii (white-rumped snowfinch)
Lineage: Eukaryota; Metazoa; Chordata; Aves; Passeriformes; Passeridae
Exons: 3
Source: RefSeq, a predicted model, not a curated record